RNAcentral lists this long non-coding RNA (409 nucleotides) under Homo sapiens (human). RNAcentral's name for it is "non-protein coding lnc-KRBOX4-1:3". The record is from RNAcentral. Lineage: Eukaryota; Metazoa; Chordata; Mammalia; Primates; Hominidae.
CAGGCAGUGGGAACAACGAUGUGAGCCUUCACAGGGUUGCUCUAGCUUUGCUCCCUGGGAAGCAGGCUCUGAGAUGAAGAUCAGCAUGCAGGACUUUUGGGAGGGAGUGCUCUUGGAAUCAACUCCUAUAGGAGAGGAAAGAAAGAAAGGAUGCAGAAUUGGGAGGAGAAAAGUGGAGCUGUGAUUCAUUCCCAACAGAAGCCUCAGCCAAUCCCGCAGGAAGUUCUGAAGAUGGGAUGGUCCUUCACCUGAUCUGGUGCUGGGUAUUGGCUCCAAGAGCACUUCCUAAUAAACACCCUAUAUGCUGAUCUCCAUCUCAGAGUCUCAUCCCUGGUGGCCUCACACUGUGACAGUCAUCUUUAGUUCUGAUGUUAGUCUAACAUUUGAUCUGUUCUGAUCUCAAGUCCUC